Molecule: ribosomal RNA, 464 nt
Filed under: Vreelandella stevensii
Lineage: Bacteria; Pseudomonadati; Pseudomonadota; Gammaproteobacteria; Oceanospirillales; Halomonadaceae
Description: partial 16S ribosomal RNA
Rfam family: Bacterial small subunit ribosomal RNA
Source: RNAcentral
CCUACGGGUGGCAGCAGUGGGGAAUAUUGGACAAUGGGCGAAAGCCUGAUCCAGCCAUGCCGCGUGUGUGAAGAAGGCCUUCGGGUUGUAAAGCACUUUCAGUGGGGAAGAAAGCCUUGGGGCUAAUACCCUCGAGGAAGGACAUCACCCACAGAAGAAGCACCGGCUAACUCCGUGCCAGCAGCCGCGGUAAUACGGAGGGUGCGAGCGUUAAUCGGAAUUACUGGGCGUAAAGCGCGCGUAGGCGGUCUGAUAAGCCGGUUGUGAAAGCCCCGGGCUCAACCUGGGAACGGCAUCCGGAACUGUCAGGCUAGAGUGCAGGAGAGGAAGGUAGAAUUCCCGGUGUAGCGGUGAAAUGCGUAGAGAUCGGAGGAAUACCAGUGGCGAAGGCGGCCUUCUGGACUGACACUGACGCUGAGGUGCGAAAGCGUGGGUAGCAAACAGGAUUAGAUACCCUUGUAGUC